RNAcentral lists this ribosomal RNA (497 nucleotides) under uncultured bacterium. Its description in RNAcentral is "partial 16S ribosomal RNA". It matches the Rfam family "Bacterial small subunit ribosomal RNA", at positions 28 to 507 of the family's 1533-position model. The record is from RNAcentral.
GAUGAACGCUGGCGGCGUGCCUAAUACAUGCAAGUAGAACGCUGAAGGAAGGAGCUUGCUCUUUCCGGAUGAGUUGCGAACGGGUGAGUAACGCGUAGGUAACCUGCCUGGUAGCGGGGGAUAACUAUUGGAAACGAUAGCUAAUACCGCAUAACAGUAGAUGUUGCAUGAUAUCUACUUAAAAGGUGCAAUUGCACCACUACCAGAUGGACCUGCGUUGUAUUAGCUAGUUGGUGAGGUAACGGCUCACCAAGGCGACAAUACAUAGCCGACCUGAGAGGGUGAUCGGCCACACUGGGACUGAGACACGGCCCAGACUCCUACGGGAGGCAGCAGUAGGGAAUCUUCGGCAAUGGACGGAAGUCUGACCGAGCAACGCCGCGUGAGUGAAGAAGGUUUUCGGAUCGUAAAGCUUUGUUGUAAGAGAAGAACGAGUGUGAGAGUGGAAAGUUCACACUGUGACGGUAUCUUACCAGAAAGAGACGGCUAACUACGUG